This 93-nucleotide small nucleolar RNA is filed under the name Fundulus heteroclitus (mummichog). RNAcentral describes it as "Small nucleolar RNA U83B (ENSFHEG00000006512.1)". It matches the Rfam family "Small nucleolar RNA U83B". Rfam says of the family: U83B belongs to the C/D family of snoRNAs. U83B like U83A has no documented RNA target and they share the same host gene with the C/D box snoRNA U43 (RPL3). Lineage: Eukaryota; Metazoa; Chordata; Actinopteri; Cyprinodontiformes; Fundulidae. The record is from RNAcentral.
UCCUGUCGGUGAUGAGACCACGGAACCUGCGUCAGGCAUGGCGCCCGAUACCAAUGAGGAAAUCUUCCAUGCUGCCUUCCUUCUGAGACCCGC